This 506-nucleotide ribosomal RNA is filed under the name uncultured Alphaproteobacteria bacterium. RNAcentral's name for it is "bacterial SSU rRNA". It matches the Rfam family "Bacterial small subunit ribosomal RNA", at positions 38 to 588 of the family's 1533-position model. The record is from RNAcentral. Lineage: Bacteria; Pseudomonadati; Pseudomonadota; Alphaproteobacteria.
GGCGGCAUGCCUAACACAUGCAAGUCGAACGAGAUCCUUCGGGGUCUAGUGGCGCACGGGUGCGUAACGCGUGGGAAUCUGCCCCUUGGUUCGGAAUAACAGCGAGAAAUUGCUGCUAAUACCGGAUGAUGGCUUCGGCCCAAAGAUUUAUCGCCGAGGGAUGAGCCCGCGUAGGAUUAGCUAGUUGGUGUGGUAAAGGCGCACCAAGGCGACGAUCCUUAGCUGGUCUGAGAGGAUGAUCAGCCACACUGGGACUGAGACACGGCCCAGACUCCUACGGGAGGCAGCAGUGGGGAAUAUUGGACAAUGGGCGCAAGCCUGAUCCAGCAAUGCCGCGUGAGUGAUGAAGGCCUUAGGGUUGUAAAGCUCUUUUACCCGGGAUGAUAAUGACAGUACCGGGAGAAUAAGCUCCGGCUAACUCCGUGCCAGCAGCCGCGGUAAUACGGAGGGAGCUAGCGUUAUUCGGAAUUACUGGGCGUAAAGCGCACGUAGGCGGCUUUGUAAGU